GGGCUUGUGGUUUAGUGGUAUAAUUUUCCCUUAGCAUUUCGAAGCGUGGGAAAGGUCCUGGGUUCGAUUCCCAGCAAGUCCA
This 82-nucleotide transfer RNA is filed under the name Amniculicola lignicola CBS 123094. It matches the Rfam family "tRNA". From Rfam's summary of the family: Transfer RNA (tRNA) molecules are approximately 80 nucleotides in length. Their secondary structure includes four short double-helical elements and three loops (D, anti-codon, and T loops). Lineage: Eukaryota; Fungi; Ascomycota; Dothideomycetes; Pleosporales; Amniculicolaceae. The record is from Rfam by way of RNAcentral.